UACGUAGGGGCAAGCGUUGUCCGGAUUUAUUGGGCGUAAAGAGCGUGUAGGCGGCCACACAGGUCCGUUGUGAAAACUCGAGGCUCAACCUCGAGCUGUCGAUGGAAACCGUGUGGCUAGAGUCCGGAAGAGGAGUGUGGAAUUCCUGGUGUAGCGGUGAAAUGCGCAGAUAUCAGGAAGAACACCUAUGGCGAAGGCAGCACUCUGGGACGGUACUGACGCUGAGACGCGAAAGCGUGGGGAGCGAACAGGAUUAGAACCUACG
Molecule: ribosomal RNA, 265 nt
Filed under: uncultured bacterium
Lineage: Bacteria
Description: partial 16S ribosomal RNA
Rfam family: Bacterial small subunit ribosomal RNA
Source: RNAcentral